UCCGCGACUUCCAGAGAGUUGCUUAAGAGUAGGAGUGAUAGAUGACAGGCUCAAGCUAACAAGUAAGAGUAAAGGUAAGUAGCUGAAGAACGAAAAGCACUAUUUGGAGUUUGGUAGCUGGGGAAGUUAGGCUUGUGGACUGACUUUACUGGUUCAAUUCUGAUAAGUAGUAUUCAUAUUCUUUAUUUCGACUAUGAGUAUUAUAGUUACGCAUCGAUAUCUCUCUUUCUAUUAUUAUUAUUAUUAUUAGAAUAUAUGCAGUUAACCAAUACACCAAUGAAUGGGUGGCCAAAGAGUAGGUACGCCUUGCUAGCUGUGGUUUCGAGCUGAUAGUUAGCAGUGUAAUUCACAGUUCCGAGUUCACGUAUUGGUAGUAGCGAUAUAAGCUCGAAGCGUAUAAGAGGAGGUAGGCUCUGUUGGUGGAGUAGGUCUUCUAAGCAGUAGGCUCAUUCUGCUAGGUAGUAGUGGAUUUCUUGUUGACAUGAAUGAAAGUACUAGAGGCAUUAGUCAAAGAACUCAAGUAAGUAGCAGCAGCCUUGUUAGUAGUUCUAUCAGGUUCGUUAUCCGUGUGUAGAUUCCCAGUUUGUAGUUGUUCCACCCAUAUUAGUAGUUAGCUAAGCCCUAUUCCUCUGUUUAGUCUUAGAGCUCCAUAUUAGUAUUUGUUGGCUCCCCGUGGUAUCCUUUCUUUUAUUGGGCAUGGUCAAAGAUUUCAUUCCUUGUUUGCUACUUUUAUUCUAAUUGACUACCCCGCCCUCCGAUAACUAUAAUAGAGCUGUUGUGGAUAAGUAGCCUCAAAAAGUCUUAGACACACCGUGUUGAGUUCUUAUUAUUACGUGCAUCCACUCCGCAAAUUCCGAUACUCGUGGUUAAUUACCCUAAACUAAACUAGCUGUGCAUACUAGUAAGUCUGAUACUUGAACGACUUUCACUCUUGAUUCUUUGGAUUCUUCUACCUAUUUGUUUGAUUAUUCCUUUCUACAUACUACCCGCCCUGCUACUUAUUACGUAUACUUAUGUUAUGAGUGAAAUUCUGUGACUAUAAUACGAGUUGCUGCCUUAGGCCACUAAGAUCAAUUCUCAUAGUCAUAGUGGAUUUCCAGUUGAUAGUUCAAAAGCACUACCCCGGUGUAACAUUCCUAUUCUUAUUGGCUUUAUUCCUAUUCUGAUUAGUAUUAUGCACUAGGUGCUCGUACCACCAAGACACUACAACAAAGGCAACUGGAAGAAUCCAAACCAAUAAUGAGGACUAUCCCCGGGUACACUGACUUAAUCUCCCUUGCCCAUCUGUCCUCUGGCUACGAAUACUUAGAAUAGGGGUGACUCGGGUAGCCCAUAGCUUUAUUGCGAAUACUUAGAAUAGAGAAUGGACUUAGCACCGGAGCAACUUGAUCCAUCGUUCCAUUGAAAAGAUCAAAAGUGUAGCGGUAGUGGUCUCGAUGACACGGCACAAACAAGAAACUAGUAAACUACUGAUCUUUGGAAUCUGAUAAUGAUCCUUGCUGCUGACUCGCUAUAUGAUUCAACACACUGCUUUGGCUUCCUUUCUUUCUUUCCCUAGCUACUUUCCUAGACUUAACGAGCACUGACACUAGAGCACUUAAACAAAACUUGGAAGAAUUGAUCUGGUCUAAGCAGACUACUUAUUAGGUCUAGGACAACUGGGAUUCUAGCCGGUAGUAGCUUGUCUCUUCCUUUUUGGUUGCAUUCUUUCAUUUUUCCGUUUUCUUCUUAUUAGUACUCGUUUCAUUCUUCCUUUUUUCAUCAAGGUUCAAUUCAGAGUUUCUUGUUCAAUUAUUACACGGAGCACCCGGCACUAGAUCGUGCACCCCCUAUUCUUAUUAGAUACUUUACUCUAACUGGAACUGGCAAUUCCACACUUCACCCAUUCUUAAAGGAAGGAAAGGAGCACUAGGUUUGCUCUGAGUGGGCCAAUUCUGACUUCCGAGUUUUCUUCUGACUUUCUUUUGAGUUUCACUAGGUUUACGAGAAAGAGCUAUAGGGUGGUUAGUGACUUCUUUUCUUCUAUUUAUCAGAAAGGGAUAUGACUGAAUGAACACUUAUAACUAAUACUAAUCAUAAGGGAGCAAUUCCAGUUUCCUUUUUUGGUAAACUGGGCUCCUCCUCUUAUAGGGAAAGCUGUUGUCAGUCAAUCAGGCAAAGGUAAAGCCAAGCACGCAAAGUCCAAGGACAAGUCCUGUUUCUUACAGUCAGCAGUGAAGAAGCUAGGGCAAAAGAUCUAGUUUUGGAGUGAAGUGAGCGGUGAGGAAUUUCUAGUGUGAGUUUAGCAAGUGAAGGUUCCUUUAUUCGUCAGAGUUUUGAGUUUAGCAAGUUAGGUUCCUUUAUUCGUCAGAGUUUUGAGUUUAGCAAGUUAUAGGUUCCUUUAUUCUAUAUUGAUGAUCGCCCAUAUUCCAUAUUCUUCUAGAUAUAUUCCAUUUGAUACUGAGAUAAGUCUUUUCAACAAGCAAGCAAAGGGUAGUGUUCCAGCCAAGGGGAAUAAACCAAGUAAAGGAAGAAACUAGUGCCCAAAGAGAGUAGUGGGUGUUAGGUUCCCGCACUCCCAGUUUAGAGUAAGCAGUCUGGUUCCGCACACGUAGCUUGUUCCCCGAGAGUUAUAUGUGAGUAAGCAGUUAGGUUACCCCUAAUUAUAUCAUGUGAACACUAUAUUCAACGAUUUCUUCUAUUUGAUCAAUUAUAUUAUUUCGAGAUAUAGAUUAUUUGAAAUGGAAUUCCAUAAGUGAGCGCACUAAUUAGCUAGUUUAGGAGUAAUGAGAACGAAGGUCUUUCGAAAGUAAAGGUACCGCUAACUCUUUCACUAUAGGAAGCAAAAGGGAUGCUAUUUGUUGAAUCAAAUCCAUACUAUGCACACGCUAAAUAACUAUGAAUGGAACAAGCAAUGCAAGGGGGAACUAAAGGGUAGAAACAAACAACAAACAAUGCAAGGUCGAACUCAAUAGGUUAAACGACUCUAACUCUUUCUGGCUUCUUCAGCCUUUCCCCGGCUUUAGUUAGCUUUGGAGUAAUAAGUGAGUUUCCAGUGUUGUUACAAUAUGAUUAAGUUAAGCAUCAUACGUGCACUCAAUUAAAAGAACUCGCUUCCGCCCACAAUGACACUCGAACAGAACUAUAACUCGUUGUAAACUCUACUACUUUGAGCUACUGCACCGACACAAGAACAGAAAGAUGAUGCAACACCUGCUUUGCUUACACCUUUUCCCUUACCGAUCCGUGAACCCCUAUUCCUCUACACCCCUAUUCCUCUCCGUGUAGUAAAUCUCUAUUCUUUUUCACUAUGCCUAUGUUCUUUAGUGCAACAACGUCUGCCCUAUCUUUGUCCUUUAAUCAGGUGUGCAGCCUAUGUUCUUUAGUGCAACGUCUGCCCCCUCUGUCCUUUAAUCAGGUGUCUUGCCUCUGCCUCAAAGUCCUGAGGAAGCAGUGUUGUUACUCAAUUCGUGAAGAAAGCAAUGCCCCGUGUUCUUUAAUCUCUUCUAUCAUAUGUUGGAUAUAGAUAUUAUUUUCCGUAUUGGCAAAAGAACAAGCAAGCAAUGUUUUCGCUUAAGUUAGUUUCGCUGUUUGGAAGGAAGGAGGUUACUCUCUUAUGGAAGUAGUGGUGACUUACAUGACUAUUGAAUUGGCAUAGAUUUCGGAGAUGAGAUCCUAUAUAGAAAUCCUUAUAAUGUAUUAUAGAGAUAGAGCAGUCAAACAAAGACACAGGAGAAUAAGAAUAACAGACUCGCGAAGGUAUGUAUGUAGACCUUUAAUCCAGACGAUAGGGGUAGCAAAUUAGAGAGAUUAGCUAGGAGCAACUUUCACCCAUGCUAAACUACUUGAAAUCCCCCUUCUUCAGCCUUAACCAAACAAGAAGCAAGGGAUACUUUAAAGGAAUCAAAGAAUAAUAUGGGAAUUGAAACCCAUCUUCUAUAAUAGAUAGAUUGGUAAGCAUAAUAUAUAGAUUAGUAAGUCAUUUCAUAUACUCUACAUAACAUAAGUAAUUAAGCAAAGCAGACUCUACAUAAGUGAUGAAACCUAAGAGGAGAAUAAAUGACUGGACUGGGGAAGAUAUAUCCUUGUGGAGAGCUACUUCCCUCAGACAUUCAGCAACAACCUAGACUUUACUAGCCUAGCUACCUUGCUUAAAGGAUCGGAACCUCCCAAACACUGCUUACAACUUAUUGAUGAAACAUGGUGACCUUGACGGGGCUCUGUAUACACAUAUGUUAAAAGAAGAGAGGAACCAUAAGUUUACUGUACAAAACCAUGAAGAAUGCUUUGGUGCAAAUAAGAGGUCAGCUGCCUAAUCACUCGCUAACGCGCCUGUAUCCUCAUACUCACUGACACUAAACUUCAAUGCUUGUACCCCGCCCCGGACUAACGCCCAAUCAAAUUAGGACUUGCUUUGCCAAAGACAUAAAGUGAGCGAUUUCUCCAAAGGGUAAUGUUGCUCCAAUACCUAACCAAAGGGCUACAGCGGUUCUUAACUUCAAGAAUAGGUUGGCAAAAGAGAAGCUCAUAUAGGAAAAGGAGAAGCUCAUAGAGUUUUGUAUAGAACUAAGUGAAGUAACCAACUAUAGCAUUCAAGUCAGGAACAGGAUAAGAAGUCGUGUAGUAUCUCGGUGUUGGCGAUGAGAGAAUGAGAGGUGUGGUUGGCAAUUCAUGAAGUUACGCUAAGUAAGAAACAAGUAACGCAAGGGAGGAUCCCAGUGGUAGAGAACAGAACCAUCGCUCCGGUAAGAUGUUAUUUAUACAAAAAUAUGCAUUUCAAACAAGGGCCCACGUAGAAGUGUUUAUAAGGGUUAGUUAACAGGCGUGAAACGCGGCUCAGGUCUCAGUGUUUGGAGUGAGAGUUCAAGCAAGAUUAAGGUCACAGAAUCAAUGACUUUCGAGUUGCUAAAACAGGACUUGCAUCUUGCCACCGUUGUUGGAACUCUAUCACUGGUUCUUGCGCUGGUGCUUGUUAGACUUGCAUCUUGUUCUGUUGUUUCAUGUUAUGUUCCAAAGCAGCUUACUAAUGCCGUAGCUACACUUGCUUACAGAGUUUACCACGAUAGAUUAAUUUCUUCAACAAUUACUGGAUGAUAUGCUUGUUAUCAGAGAUCCAAUCUUACUUAUCAAAUCUCUACGAAGACGGACGAAAUCAGAGAAAAGGAGAAAGAGAGGCAGUUGUUACAUUCGUUGGCCCGGAACUAGGUAAAGCUCUAUAAUUGUAAGCGCAGGAAGCACAAAGAAGGCUCGUGUAAGCUUGGGUUAGCUAGAAGUUAUGUAACGAGGCCCUGAUCGCUUACCGUGUGAGCGCCCGGGAGAAAUGGGUCGGGUGAACCCUAGCCUAACCAAAUGGCUAUUUGAGGGGUGUGCAAGGAAGUAUUUAAGUAAGUUCCUCGAGCUACUAACAAGUCCGUCCUAUAAAGAAGGGGUCAGAACAAGAAGGGUCGGUAGUUAGCAGCGCAGCAACCAAUCCACCUAAGGGAAUCAAUCAAUCCCAGAGCCUCGGUGAUUCGCGACGAAGAUAAUAUUGGAUCAUGCGCACCAACCCAAGGGAUUCUAGCAGCUAAGUGGAUCGAGCCAUUACUUUGAUGCUCUACCCACUAGCCCUAAACAACGGCCAAGUUUCACUGGGACUCAAGAGGGUGCAUGAAGCAGCUCCGGAUGACUUAGCUCGAGAAAUCCAAUUUGAAAGAAAGGGGAGCUGGACUCCCCGAACAUUAUAAGAAAGAUUUCACCGGCCUUCUUCUUUUUUACCAAAUCCAAUCCAGUCCUAUCGCAGUUCGUUGGGAAAGAAACGAUUUAUUAGCUAUCCUCCUGACCUGAGGCGAAUCGACCCGGAUGGGAUGGAAACUCGCCUAUAAGCGGGAGUGCUCACUAUCAAGUCUUGAUUGAUCGAGACAAAGCCAAAGAUAUGGUGGUACUCAACUCUAGGGAGCUACUGGCUAUGUGGGAGAAAUAUGACAUCCUGCUUGGGGAGCCAGGUGCCAAAGGCUUUGUUCGGUAUGGAAGAGGCAACUGCUUUGUACGUUUAUUGUGAACUCGCCGGCAAAGCAAGGUACUCGUAAGGUCGCUGCGUCUACUCGAUCGAACAGGCUGAGGAAAAUCCAAAUAACUCACCAAGGUGAUAGGAAUGAAUGCUCUUUCAAGGUGAUAGGAAUGAAUGCUCUUUAGAAACGGAUGGUGUUUGAUCCUUUCUUUUAUGAUCUAUGGGGGCUCUAUAUUCUGUAAAGUGCUCCAAUCCAAUACAAGGCGCAUGCAUUGCUGCAGCAACAAGGAAAAAAACGAACCGUGCUAUAAUCUUAGCAACUGGGCUAUACCUACUAAUUAUGACCUAUUCCAUGCAUUCGUCGCAUAAAAAAGUGCUUCAAGUGGAUCGAGUCAGUCGAAGUCAUCAUAAGCAGUACAACCAUCUUGGUAAAGUGGAUUUCUAGAGUUAUUUAUAUAUAGUUGUAUUUCUCAAGUGGGUGAGGCGAAGAACUCUAACAGCUCCCUUAACUUGACUAUGGCUAAAGUGAGUUUAGUAAGUAAUAGUGGAUUUUUGAGUAACGGAAUGAGGUUCCAUUUAUUAACUCAUAUGUCAAUCAUAUUCCAUAAGUUCAUUUGCAUAUAUUGUGCUUUUCUUUGCUUUUCUUAGUAGAGUUCAACUCGCAUAAGGAGUUUGCCAGCUUUCUGUUAGCGCAAACAAGGAUUCUAGUCCAAAUGAAUUAUUAGGCUCUUAGAAUGCCCUUUUAUACUAUCAUCUUCAUUCAGCAGUAGGUAGAGAUCGAGAUGAGCAUUCGGCUUCACAGGAAACUUUGACAUUGCAAGUGGUAAGGAGUGAAAAGUAUAGUCUCUUUCAGUGCUUGUGUUGUCUCCGAGAAAAGAUGCUGUGCUAAAGUCAGCUGCAAGAUAUGCAAGAUAUGUGGAAGGAACUUUAAGUCAGCUCCUGGGUUUUGGUUCAAGUUCAAGUCCUGUGUUCGGGAGCGGGCAAGUUAGAGACAGAAGAGAACGUCUUAGAAUUGAAUUAGGAGUUUCGGUUUGGUAGCUCGGGGUGUAAUAAUGGGAUAAGUAGCCACUGGACUUAGAGCAAGGAAAGUCGAAGAAAGUAUGGUUUGUUUCAGAAGACUAACAAGCGAGCAUAGGAGUUAUAGAAGAAUCAAGAGCAUAGGAAAUUGAGUUCAGCUUGGAACCUACAGAUGGUAUGCCAUAGAAAUCUAAUAAGAAAAAGAGAAGAUACUGUAUACGUGAUCAAAAGAGCAUAGGAAAGAGUAAUGCAUUGGUUGAAUUCCCUGAUGCACAAACUCGGUCUUAUCCGUUGGGGGUUGGUAGUAAGUAUUGUUUACGCUAGUUGGAUUCCGCGUUCUUAUUGAUGAUUCUAUUUACUUAUAUGGAUAUGCGUGUUUUCAUAUGAUAUUUGCUAUUAGUUCUCUUAUAGUAAUUCCAGUAGUUUGCUAUUAGCAGUUCCUAUUAGCAGAGAUUCUAUUCCUGUAUACGAUAUAUCUCAUUAAUAGAAGACCCCCCAUUGAAUAAGAAAAAGAGUACGGGUAGGUACUUUUUUUGAGGCUUUCUCUAUUGUAUUAGACUUUAUGUUAGUUGUAGUGGAUUUCUGACUUAAUAGAGCGGAUUAGCUCACUAGGACCAAAGCCUUGUGGUCGGUAGGCUUUCAGCACCCUUACCCUUACCCCUUAUCUUAUUGGAUUGGUUGUUCCUAAGCUUGUUCCUCGAAGGUCAGAAUGUAAUGCCUAUAUGGUAUCCACUGGAAUGGCAGUUCAUAUUACUAGCAUCUGAUCUCUAAGAUUCAACUCAUUCAAAACCACUUGCAGCAGACUACUUUCUCACUGCUCCAGCUCCUUCUUAUGGUUCUCGUACACUUGAAGAAUCGAUUGUUGCUUCAUCUGGGCAUUCUGCUUCCUUACCUGAUCCAGCAUCCAAUCUUGAAACAGCGGAUUCUCGAACUACGGAUUCUCUCUAUUCAUAUCUUGUUCCCUAUUCUUAUCUUAUUCCCUAUUCUUCUCAAGUUGCUACUCCUAGGGCUUGCACUUACUCUUUCUCGUCUUUAAAGCUAUGGGAAACUAAUCCAAUAUGGGAAGGUGCUAAGAGCCUAUCUUGCACGUGUAACGGCGGAAAGCGAACGGAACUCAACGCCGCCAGACUUCUAUAUGCGCGCGUCUCAACGGAUUAUGAAGUCAACAGCUUCUGAACGAAACUUAUUGUAUGCUUCCUGAAGUCCACUUCUUGUCCGUGCUUCUAAAGUGCCUUUAUAUGCGUCAACUGAUUGCCAUUUGCUUAUUAUGGCAGUGUUUGAUUACUUCCUUCUUUAUAUGUUGAGUUUGUUUUCUUGCAUAACACAGGUUCAUUGCUACUAUAUGUUGAGUUUGUUUUCUUGCAUAACACAGGUUCAUUGCUACAUGGAAUUUCACCUCUCGAGCACAUAGUAUAGAAAAAAGUAAGUAUACUGCUAAACCGGAUUUAGAGGCGGGCUCAACACAAUCACCUACUGGAACUUACGCUUCAACACCCAAUUCUGCUUAUGCAUCAGAUUCUCUUUAAACAAAGUAUGGGCCUGAUCCUGCUGUAGCUCUUAAUAGUAUAGUAUGGUUUCAAGUUUGCUUAUGUUCCUUUUAUAUAGUAGCCCACGGAGCGGUAUCUUCUAGCUUUAGGAGAGUCUCUCUCUCUUUCAGUUCUUGUGUUGUCGUAGUAUAGAAUCAGAAUGCUUAGCCCUCCUACCUCACCUAUUUAUUACUAUCUUAGCCUACCUAUCUUCUUUAUUACUAUUUCCAUAUAGAUCCUCCCCCCUCAAUUACUAUUCUUUUAUUCUUUAUCAUACUCCCGCAUCCUCUCCUUGAACUCAAAGAUAUUAAUUCCGCUAAGUUAGUAAGGAGAACAAGUAAGGGAAUAAACUGGGGAUUCUGAAAUAGAGAAACUACUCGACUCGGUAUUGACAGUAAACCCUUCUUUUUAGUACAAUACGGGUAACUACAAGUACGAGUCCAAAAUUCCAUUGCUUUAGCUGGGGCUGAUAGAAACAAGUACAUAGGAAGGAGCCAGGGAUGAUACAAACUAGUAACAAACCAUGUGCUUACACACUUAUUUAAGAAUGGAGUUGACUACUAUAAUCAUUGAAUUGACUACCUAUUAGACUUCACCUCUUAAUUACCAGCUUAGCUUCUUCUUUAGCCUCCUUAGAUCAAGCAUCUGAUCUCGUAUACCUUCCUCGCACAGCAAGUAUAUGACUUUCGAACUGGAACACUUGAUUUAGAGUAUUAGGACAAUCACCUCUCUCAGCGCCAAAGGACAAUAAACUCUCUCAGCGCCAACACACGCACCAAAAAACACAAUCCUUGAAGACGAAACGAGCUCUCAUACAGAGGAGUUCUCUUUCUCUCAAUACGGAAAGUGAGAAUGAAACUAAUAAGUAAGUAUCCGCCGAAGCAACAGAAUCCGUUGAAAGAUCCGUAGUAGGAACAUGCGAGGCAAGAGAUGGCAAUAACUCUUACAGUACUACCGGUGGAAUCCCUUGUUUCAUCUUCGAACAUGCCUUAAAGGAUGCAAAAAGGGGCCGGGUAUGUUUGAGUUUCAUCCUAGUCUUAGAGAGAAAAAGCAGUGUGAGUGUCAUCACCACCACUUGCAACUUUACCGACGCUGUAAAGAGCAUUCCCAUUUCAUAAUUCAACAAGUAAGUAAGAGACUCAAUUCUAUCUUAUCUAUCCUUAUAUAGAAUGCCGAUCACACCUAAAAUAAACAAGCUAGUUCUUGCUAGGCAUAUCUAUGAAAUUAGGAUACAGGUACUGGCUGCUAUACUAGCGACUCUCCUAUCAAUCUGGUUACCAGUAACAUGCUAAAAGCAAGCUUACUUUGACUGGAUUCUGUCUACUAGCUUCUAUUAGAAUGGGCGACUUGCCUGGCACUGUAUCCAAUCUGUUACCUGACAGGCAGCUUAUUGAUUGUUUCCUGUCCGCUUCCCCAUCCCAAGCAUAGACCUGCUCUGUCACUUGUCACUCUAUCUUCUCGGAAACUGCACAGGAUAAGCUAUGGGAUCUAUUGCAAGCUAGGCUACCUUUUGCAAUUGGAAAGGGACCAGUUAUAUGUCGAUUGGCAAGCUAGGUUAAGGUAGCGAGCAAGAAACAAGCCAUGCCUAAACGUAGUGGUUGCCUGCUAUUUGCCUAGUGUUAGCUGCCCGCCCUAUCGGAUAAGAACGUUCCCACUUUUGGAGCGGACUACUCGUUUGGAUGACCUGAGGCAUCAGGAUAGCACUCUGCCAGCAGGGUUCGGGAACUCUGACUAUCUCCAUCCUUGGAUGCCGCGAUAAGUUCAACAGGCAAGGCCGGCUUUGCUUCAGAUGUAGUGGAUCGGUAUUCUGCUAUUCUCUAUCGCUUGAUACCAGACAUAGAGCCCUAUCUCUAUCAACCCAACAGUCUCACCUUUCUUUCACAUCACAGCUAUAAACUCUCCUUUCUUGUCUGGACAGUCAAUCAUUUUUCGACGCUAGGCUUUAGUCAUCCCCCAAGCGUAUACUAUACAAGUGGAACUCCUAACUCAGGUACCAGUGUACAAAUUGCAAGACAUCUUAGAUGCUAAAGAGAGUGCAGAGAGUGACAAAACGAGUAGGCGAGAGGGGCAGGUACAGAGCCAAAGGCCGGGAGAAACUCUAUUAUGUGGCAGUUACGAAGCCAAAGGCCAGGGACAAAGGCUCUUUAGUCUGAAUAUACGAAACGAAGCCUAACCGUAGUUGUGUAGGAGCUAAUCGACCUCAACUCCUUUCUAUUUAUGAAUACUCGAAAGAAUGGAUUUCUCCUUUAUAGAUUACAAACAAACUGAUCUGAAGCUAUUGUGUAACUCAUAAGAAUGGAAUUCCAUACAAAGGACAGGUCCGUGGGAAGUGACCUUAUAACAGGAAUCGUCUAUUUGCCCCUCUAUGUUCGAUGUCCGAGCGGGCGCAUAACAUGACAUGGCAGGAAAGCAAGAUGUGUUAAUCGUCUCUACGGUCCUUGUACCUGUUCCGAGGGUCGUUUACUGCUUUUCGUCUUGGACUCUUUGAUCUUUUCUUCUUAUUUGGAUUGGUUACUUGCUUGUUAUAGAAUCAUUCCACUUCCUUUCUUUUCCUAGUUAACCCCCUAAAAAAGAAAAGAGUGACUGGAAAUUGAGGAGACUAGUACCGAUGGAGUACAAGAUAUCUAGGCCUGUUCGUAACGUUUGCUUUCUUAAUAGAGAGGGGGAUUGACUGCCUUUUUCUUUUCAAACGCGGAUCAGGUGUUCAAUACAAUACAUACAGAUGGAAGUAUGGGGAAAGGAAUUCUCUCCAAGGCUGUAGCAAGCCAGAUUCCAGACAGUAGGGAGCCAUCAAGUGAAGUACUAUCUUAGACUUAUAAAGGUGGAGCCGAAAGCAAGCCAUCGAGCCUAAAAAGCCGCAGCCAAAGGGAUUACCGAGUCGAAUGAGAUGUACCGAUUGGAAUCCUUAAGAAAUGCUUAUGGAGUAGAAAGACCACGAGUAUUGACUUAUAGGAUGGAAAGGAGUAUAAUAGGCAGCUUUAACAAAGCAGCAAAGGCAGAAAGAAAGCAUUGACCCUUCACUAACAAGAAAGGCGAAGGACAAUCUGGACUUCCUUAUUGAGCUGGUACAACAAAUAGAGGCGCGUAGCGGCAUUUCCGCUUAUGCUCUAGAAAUACAGAAAGCAAAAGAAAAAAACAACCGAAUGAACAAAUUCAGAAGAUGGCUUCUUGUUCACGAAUGCCCUGUGAAAAGGAAUUAUUUAAUCAGAAGCAUCGAAUGCAAGCAGUGAGGAAGACUAAUUCUCUCUUAUGAAACUAGAAUGAAAUGCAAAUUAGUCCCACACUUACCACAGGAAGGUACGCAAGCACAUUUAUGGAAUCAGAAAAAGCGAAAUAUUGACAUUCUGCACCUGUGAUCCUACUCUCUUUAUGUAUUAAGCAACCGAUCUCACGACGAUGAGUCACCCCCUCCACGGGCAAUCAUUUCCUAUUAUUUGAUUCGUCAGUGUCCAGACGACCUUUUCUUUUGUUUUGAUGCGGGGUAAGGAUUCGUUCCUACAUCUCCUGAAGUCUACUGACCAGACCUUAUUAAGUAAGAGGUAAGUAAUAGGAUGGCAUUACUGUAACUCAAGUGAAGGUAGGUUAGGGAGUUACUUCUUUGACUCUUAUCUAGUAUCGGGUAAAUGCCUAUGCGCUAUUACGCUAUCCGUCUGAUCUUAUAAUCGAUAAAGUGGAAAGAGCUUUCCUUCGCUUCUAAGUCUAUCUCUUAGUACUUUUGUUACAUCCCUUGGGGAGUUCUUCUACCUUACCCUUAUAAUUCUAACGUUUCAAAUAAAUCAUAGAUGUUUUCACCGUUGAGUCAUAAGAGGGACGUUCGAAAGUAAUCAGUGAAGUCUUAGAGAUCCGUAUCUUCAGCCAAAUCCUUAUAUGUAUCUUCUGCUGUUGCCAGUUCCAUUUCCAUUCUAGUUUGCCUGUGACAUUCUAUUAUCCUUAUCUAUAUAACAUGCACAAGAGAGAAUAUGGAAUCAGAUCUUCUGCGCUCAACUCUCAAGUUCCAUUCCUUAUUUCUUGCACCAGAUAUAUAUGCGAGUCAAAACUACCACAUUGCAUUCCAAUAACUGUCAUUAGCCAUUUGAUGAGUUUACCCUUGCCUUAUCUUUCGUAAAUGUAUACGUGCGGAUGCAAAGUCUCGUCUCUCAUAGCUACAUGGAGAUCGAGCUUGGAGGCCAGGCCAGUCUAGCAGGUGAUUUGAUCGGGCGCUCACGGAGGCAGCGAAGGGUAAUCGGUUCUACUUUAAACGGGGACGAUCCUCCCAAUGGUGAUCAUAUGGUACUCUAUGUAGGAGAUAUUAUGAAAGAUCUCAUAAGGAUAACUUCUAUACUGCCUGUUCCAUUUGGGAAGAUGGAGAAAGAAGAGAUCUUUUCUCAACCCCCAAAAGAGGUCGUUAAUGCAGGAAAGCGGGAACGCAUGGAAGGCUACUGAGAUAGCUAUCAGGUUCUAUCUCCACGGAGACGGGAGGUUCCUCCCUCUGAGAAAGCUGCUCGAAGUCAUAAUCUCUUUCUUCGUCUCUUCUCCAGAGAGAGGAUUAUCUAACUCCCCAAGAAGUCAUGCUGAGAAGGCGGUCGGUCAUACAAAGAGCCUUUCUCUCAGUACCCACACCACUAUUAAGACAAAUAGCCCGGUGUUGAACUCAGAUAAAGUCAAAGUGCUUUCCUUCACGCUGAGUGUGAACUGGAGAUUGAAGGCUGCUCAGAAGAUUGAUUCUAGAAGUCCGGUUUAUGAGCAUGCAAGCAACCUUGGCGAAGUUAUGGUUAUGAAAGAAUUGGAUCCAUCUAGUAGCGAACCAGCUUCAAAGCGCUUCCUCGAAUCGAAGGCGAAGUAAGCGCAGUUUCUUCUAAAAUGGCUCGGUAGGCUAGCCAGCAACUUGAGAGUUGUUUCUCACACAUAGAAGUCUAUGUCCAAGGCAGGGCCGAAUGGGCCAGGAUAGAAAGCUAGGUCCUUCGCGGUCAAAGAAAGUCUUCGUUGUUUGCCCUAUUCAACGGGGAUAUUCUAAAAGCAAGUAUGGAAUAUUUCAAUAUUACGGAGCCAAAUCAAUAUAGGGGGGCUUUCUUUGUAUGGAACAAUGUCAUUGUAUAGGAAGUGAACAAGUAGUCCCGUCCGGAAUGAUCUCUUUGGGGCUAAACAAGGAUAUGUAGUAGAAUAUCCGACAGGUAAAGUCUAGUAGGGGCUUCAAUACGGAAUAGGAAGGGAAUGAAAGUAAGCUAGACCAUUAGGGAGAGGAAAGAGACGAUCUGAUCUCUUUCUUUAUCAUUUCGUUCUGGAAAUAUGCUUCAUUCAUGGCUUGAAGAAAAGAAACUGACAUUGACCACCCUAGUGAAAGUCUUAGCAUUAAAUAGAAAAGGAAUGGAAGGCUAACGCUGCUAAGCUAAAACAAGUGGGUAAGGAAGCGCUCUUCACCGCAUGCCCUAAAAAAGAAAAGAAGCGACAUGCCCCCCUUAAUGACACGCUUGGGAAGCUCCCCUAUACCACGCUAACGAAAGCAACCAUUAUGAUUUCUUCUUUUCUAUAUCUCCUAGUAGAUGUGAUUUGAAGUCGGAAGAGGGUUUCUGAGGAACCGGGUGCCGUAAAUCGGAUCCAUCAUCUGGUGAAGGAACACAGUCAAUGCGCCGAUCAAAGAUAACAUCACAACUCUCUUUCUUUGAUAACAUCACAACUCUCUUUCUUUGAUAACAUCACAACUCUCUUUCUUUCUGGGCAUGAUCAAACUCAUUCUCUUUUUGAAGCGGUCCCCCAAGGCUUUUGGGCCGGUAGGGAGGGUUUCAAUUCUCAGAGAUAUGCCAAUAUAGGAUCCCUUGGGAAUGCUCUUCUAAUGGAAUAAGGUAGCUAACCAUGUACAGUUACUUGUUUGCUCUUCACUUCCAUUCCAUUCUUGACUGUUGGAGUGGAAUUAUAAGAUAGGUAAUUCAGAUGACACAGAGUAAAGAAGCAGUGUGAGCGAGUGCGUGUUUGUGUUGCUGCAAGCAGGUCCGAAAGAGGAGAGUCCUGAGUGAGUUUUGAAGCCAAGGAAGAAAGAAAGUGCAAAAAGUCAGCGCGGAUAUGAAAGUGAAGUUGUCGACGAGCCAGAUUACCCAUAUAUAAAUAUGAAGCGGAGAGGUUUCAAGGUGAAGCAUAAGAAUAAGCUAAGGGAGCCCGAGUAUAGAAUCAAUCAAUUGUAAUCAGAGUAAGAGAAAGGUGCAAUUCCGGUUUGACUUUACUGCUUGGCUUUCAUUCUUUGUUGAGUUACGCUUACGGAGUUGUUAAGUGAUCCGCUCAAUUCCUCUUCUCUUUUAUGGAACAUGCUCCUAAGUGGUGAAAUAUGGAAAUUCAGUGGUGAGCUGCUCGCAAGCAUCAUUUGCCUUGAACUUGGAUUCUCACUCUAACGCCGAGAAAACUGGAAUGGAAUACAUCUCUGACUCUUAUUACCCUGAUCCAUACAAUGCUGGAACUAUAGUCAACUCAUGAACUUCCUUUACACGCGAGUCUUAUCAACGGUCUCACAUCAUCCGCUCAAAGAAAGAGGUGUGAAAGGGGUGUCGAGAGAGAUAGAGAAUAACUCUCAUUGAUAACUACUGACGCUGAGAUACAAUGAGCUCGGAAUGGUUUCAAGGAUGAUACUCUCGGUAUUAGAGUUCGGGUACAGAGAGAGGAGAGCGAAAGGUUAUUGAGAUGUGUUAGGAAAGAUGUGGGUUCAGAUGAAGAAUGUGGAAUGAUAAUAGAAAUACGAUUCCAUGCUCAUCUAAAACUACUGAAUGAGGUUAAGGCGCGCCAAGCAGACGCCAAGUAACAAUUAACGACCAAGCAUGAGUUUCUGGGCCAGUGGAAUAUGAGAUUUUCUAUACGAAACGGGAAGUGAAGCUGACCCCAACACUGGAGCUGUUGAUUCUACUGCAACACUCGAUGCAACUCUAUUGAUUGACUUAUCGCUUGCUGCUCGGGAAAGCCAAUAACUAACCCAUCUCUACCCUUACCAUAAAGCAAGCCCUGAAUUGAAACUCUACGUAAACAUCUUGUCCCGCUCUAGCUCAAAGAAAAAGCAACGGAACAAGAAGUAAGCUAUCACACAAGGAAGGUAGGCUUAUCAGAAUGAUGCAGCUAAAUGCGCCCCAAGAGAACUCACGUAAGCACAAUGGCUAACACACCCUGCGUAGCCGCUUCCCUUGCUUUGCUUGUUCCGCUGCGAAGAUGGUGCUUCACCUAUGCUUGUUGAAGAUGGUGCACAACUGAGAGAAAGUCAGAAAACCAAUGACUACUUGUGCGAGUGUUGUCGACUCAAAAGAAGCAGUGCCUUUGCCCAGAUGAAGCAGUUAUCUUUACUUAUAUCUUUAUACCAGUGCUCAAUAAGAGGGAUAUGAUGGCUUUAAGCCUAGAAUAAAUAGUACUGUGAUUCGUCGUGGCUUUGAUGCCCUAACGGAUGGUGUAUAAUGCCCUGUUCCAGUUGAUUGUGUUGUCGACGAACGGUUCUUCAAGUCUUGUUCGUAUAGCCCAUGUCGCGAUUAAGUUUCAAGUGAGCUGCAAUUCCAGUUAUUGUUUCAUCCCGGCGGUAUUUGUUGUCGUUGUCGGUGAAGAAAUCUCUGUUUAAAAGUAAUCGAGAAAUGAAAUAGAGAAUUGAAGAUUGGAAAUGGAAUGCAAGCGAGGUUGACCUUCUCUUCUCACUGGUCCAACCCUAGAGAUCGAAUACCAGACUGCCCACGCAUGGCCUCACAGCUUGUUGAAGUAAAGCUUCUAACGCGAGUGGAAUCGUUAAUUGAAUGCGAAGGAUAAAGUCAGAGGUCCGAUUGAAAAGAAAGGGAAGGCGUUUGUGUCCUUACUAGGUUUCUAUACCACAGCCCGCUAACGGAGCCCUACUAUACUAUGGGAAGUGGUUUGUUUCUUUACUGGGUUUCUAUACCACAGCCCGCUAACGGAGCCCUACUAUACUCAUGGAUUGUUAAUCUCAUGUAGAAUAAUAAACAACAUAUAGUACAUUUGUGAUUUGUUAUUACAAUACCUGUGAACUUGAUAUAUAAGGGUCGCGGCAGGUUAGCUAGUCAAUUGGAUUCCACUUGAACUGGCACUUGACCUGGACCGGAUUGGGUACUCAAUCUAGCACUCCCGUGGCAUUCCCCUUGGGCUAUUCUCUUAUGAAAUCAUUAUGGCAGACCUAGCCCAUGACUCUGGUUCUUACCAUAGUUGCUUGUCGAUUUGACUUCUGCUUACGGAGUUUACACGCUAACACUAAUAUUUGUUGGAGUGACUUCUUUGUCUGCGAGAGAAGUAGUGACUUUACCCUUCCGUUCAAUUCGAACUCAGCUGCUACUGAUGGGAGUACGCUACUGCAAGCAGAAAACAACUCGGAACUCGCAAUUGAACCGCCGAUAACAAGGCUGCCGCGCUGACAUCUAAAUAGGAAAUGACACUAGAUCGGGCCUACUACCUUGACUCUAACUAUGAAACUGCUUACCCUUAUUCUUGAGACCAAUACUAGCAGGACUUUCACUACUAUUUACAAUAAUCGCUAGGGGCAUAGAAGAAUGCAAUUGCAAAUAUACAAUAUAGAACUAAGUAAACCAACCCAUACAACUCUUAUAUUACAACGAGAAGGAGCUACAGCGGGAAUAGAACUAAGUAAACCAACCCAUACAACUCUUAUAUUACAGGGAGAAGGCUUAUCUUAUAUUACAAGGAGAAGGAGCUACAGCGGGACAAUCAGUUGACGACAAUAGGCUUGGACAAGAAGUUCCAUAUCUAGCCCAGUACAGAGGUUUGUCUUCACUUAAGGAGUUCCUGUUCCUAAACAAUACUACCCUUAACAUAAAGUAAGCCAAUCAUGCAAAGGGGAAAUAAACACUAAAGGACACAGGAUAGUCAGAAUUGGAUAAGGGAGUGGCAUAGUAGUAACUUGUCUGGUCUUGUGAGCACACUAGUUGGUUUCUUUAUUGUAAGAAGGGUCUUAAAAGCACUCAAUACAGAAUGCAACUAGCGCUUCUAAUACAACAACUAUCACAUAGAAAUAAGGAAUAGCAAAUACAGAAUUCACUGAUGGUACCCGAGCCUAACUUAUUUAAGUAUCUUUGCUUGUUUUAAGCAUUUAUCGCCUAACCAAUACUAAUACCGCUAGUGGGGGAAUGAAAUGCAUUUUCGUCUUCCUUUUGUUUCCAGUGUUCUAUAUGCUGACACUAGUAUUAUAUUGAUUUGAUCUACUUCGCCCAACAAGCAUUAGUGAGUCAAGUGAGUUCAGCAGUCAUUAGUGAGUCAAGUGAGUUCAGCAGUUCAAUUUCAUGUAAGCCUACUUACUGGCACAUUAUGUAACAUUCGCUUUUCUUUCCUAUAGCCGUAAUCGACUCGAUGCUUCCAGAUAGGAUGAUACUGAUUCACUUACCUGCCGAGAUCGUAUUGUUCUCUUGGCUACCUACCUCGACUUUAGACUUGGACAUGAUCUGAGGCUUCUUUUCUUGGUACUAAACUUGAUACUUGCCUUCGAGCAGAAAGUAUUUCCACUCCAGUUUCUACAUCAAUUUCUUCCUUUACUCAUUCACUUAGCGCUUCCGUAUUAUGAAGUUGGGCCAUAGCCAUAAGAGUAAGAGUACACCACGCUACUAUUCCUUGUAAGAUAUUCUUCCGCAAGAACUACACAAGUCCUGGGUCCGGGCAAAAGGGAAGCUGUGUUAGGUGGAAAAAUCAUCAAUGUAUUCGGAAGAGCGCGCCAAGUCCUUUUGAAUAGGUCCAAUUUGAGGAGCCCCACUGGGGUUUUCAUAGUUCCUUUUGCUAUCUUUUUUGUUUCCCAUGGCUUCCACUACAGGAAAUCCGGGUGUUUUGCCUUACUUAGAUAAUUGCCCAACUUAACUGGAUCAUGCGCGCACUGAUACACUUUAGUAUAGUAUCCUCAAAAGCAAGGGUGAGCUCCGUUAGCGCCCCAAGAUAAGGAUAUGGAUAAGACGGCUUGAAUAGGAUCUGGAUUAGCUGCGUUACGAGGAACUUCAAGCCAACCAGAUGAAAAGGAAAGGUUGGUGCGGUUCUGGGUUUGUUAGUUCCUAAAGUCAGAGGUCAGUAGCAAGCGUCAAGUAUAAUGAUUUAGUUGGCGAGACCCGAGAGAGAGGUUCUGCUCUGGCCGGCGUAACCAACAAGUGGUUCUGCAAAUGGAGUUAUUGUGCGAGUACUAAGUAUAGAAUGUGCCUUUCUCAUAAUCUUCAGUAAUAGAAUCCGUAGGAAAGAAAGAUGGGUGGUAUAAAGCUUUAACCGAUAGAGAAGUAUCAAGACAAGAAUCCGUUCGCGCUGUAGGAUAAGAUCUAACUAGGAAAGUCAGCUAGGCAUCCCUAAACCCGGAAAGUCAGCUAUACCUUACCACGCAACAACAAAAACCAGUGUUAGCGCCCCAGAACGAACCUUUCCUUUGCCCACCUCUUAUCUUGAAACAAUAACUCCCUUUUCCUUUGCCCACCUCUUAUCUGAGUGCCCGACCUCGACUUGCAGACGAAAACUACACUUUGUAACUUGCCUUAGCAUAACGUCUUGUUGGGCCGAGUAAAACAGUAUCAUGGAAUAUCUCUGGAGCGCAUGUCAUAAAAGAGAGGAAUUGAGGAGCAUUGCCAACUUUAUCCGUAAGCCGAGUUUUCUCCACUUGCUGCUUCCUUGAGAUGGGAUUAUGACCCGAACCUUGCUUUCCUUUACUUUAUUUCUUACCAGCUGACUAGAGCCUCUGUUCCUUCUUAAGAUCUUGAUGAAACAUCUUCUCUGGCUUAUUACCCUGCGGAAGAUCUAGUUCCUACUCUUGAUCCUGUAUACAGUAUCUUAUUGAGUUCCCACUCCUUAUAUAACUUAUGCAUCCAUCUUCUUGGCGCAACAGUACUAGUUUGUUGUUCCAUAGCGUUUCCAUUCUCUUAGUUCUGAUUCUUGGUAAAGGCAAUACAGUACGGAAGUUAUGUUACCAACGGAUGAGCAUGGAAGGAAUAUGAUUAUUGGGCUUGCUUUGAAUUGAUAAGGAGAAAUCGCUAGUCUCUCGCACUGGCGCACUGGAGUUUGCAAAAGGCUUCAUGUGUAAGUAGCAGCUUGGCAGUCUGGCUUUCUCCUUGCGUGGAACAGAGUUGAUAGUAGAAUUCUGUGUUUCAUCUGUAUUUGUAGCAGUAGCAUCUGUCUUAGUAGCAAUAGGAGAGUUUAGUUCGGAUGUUCUAGAGUGUUGAGCAAGUCCGUAUUCAGCUAGCGCAUUCAAGUAUUUAAUAGAACUCAAUCGGAUAAGAAAGAAGGAUGGAUCUAGCACAUUACUACUAAGAGCGGGAGAGACAGAGUCGAGGGAAUAGAAGCAAUGCGAGUUAGGUCUACUGACCCCUUAUUGAAAGUACUAAAGAGGAGAGG
RNAcentral lists this long non-coding RNA (19815 nucleotides) under Musa acuminata (dwarf banana). RNAcentral describes it as "long non-coding RNA (MACU_LNC009854)". Lineage: Eukaryota; Viridiplantae; Streptophyta; Magnoliopsida; Zingiberales; Musaceae. The record is from RNAcentral.